Molecule: ribosomal RNA, 465 nt
Filed under: uncultured bacterium
Lineage: Bacteria
Description: partial 16S ribosomal RNA
Rfam family: Bacterial small subunit ribosomal RNA
Source: RNAcentral
GACGAACGCUGGCGGCGUGCUUAACACAUGCAAGUCGUACGGUAAGGCCCUUUCGGGGGUACACGAGUGGCGAACGGGUGAGUAACACGUGAGUAACCUGCCCACAACUUUGGGAUAACGCUAGGAAACUGGUGCUAAUACUGGAUAUGUGCUCCUGCUGCAUGGUGGGGGUUGGAAAGCUCCGGCGGUUGUGGAUGGACUCGCGGCCUAUCAGCUUGUUGGUGGGGUAGUGGCCUACCAAGGCGGCGACGGGUAGCCGGCCUGAGAGGGUGACCGGCCACAUUUGGACUGAGAUACGGCCCAGACUCCUACGGGAGGCAGCAGUGGGGAAUAUUGCACAAUGGGCGCAAGCCUGAUGCAGCAACGCCGCGUUCGGGAUGACGGCCUUCGGGUUGUAAACCGCUUUCAGCAGGGACGAAGCUUUUUGUGACGGUACCUGCAGAAGAAGCACCGGCUAACUACGUG